CCUACGGGGGGCAGCAGUGGGGAAUAUUGCACAAUGGGGGAAACCCUGAUGCAGCGACGCCGCGUGAGUGAGGAAGGCUUUCGGUAUGUAAAGCUCUUUCAGUAGGGAAGAAAAUUACGGUACCUGACUACUACUCCCCGGCCAACUACGUGCCAGCCGCCGCGGUCCUACGGAGGGGGCAAGCGUUAUCCGGAUUUACUGGGUGUAAGGGGAGCUUAGACGGGUAAUCAGGUCAGCAGUGAAAGCCCAGGGCUCAACUCUGGGACUGCUUUUGAAACUGAGUAGCUAGAGUGCAGGGGAGGUAGGCGGAAUUCGUGGUGUAGCGGUGAAAUGCGUAGAUAUUAGGAAGAACACCGAUGGCGAAGGCAGCUUACUGAACUGGAACUGACGUUGAUGCUCGAAAGCGUGGGGAGCAAACAGGAUUAGAUACCCCAGUAGUC
Molecule: ribosomal RNA, 440 nt
Filed under: uncultured bacterium
Lineage: Bacteria
Description: partial 16S ribosomal RNA
Rfam family: Bacterial small subunit ribosomal RNA
Source: RNAcentral